AUGCAGCAUCAGAUAUGUGCUCUGUUUAAUGGCAUAAACUAUGAUGUAAAACAAGCAUAUACUUGCCUCUAUUGCUAUAUUGAUGAAGUGAAGCAUGGGCUGCACGUGCCUUCACCACAGAGUGCUGUUCUUGGGGCAAGUGAUCUGCCAAGAACUGUUCUUAGCGAUCAUAUUGAAGAGCGGCUUUUUAAACGGCUUAAGCUGGAGAGACAGGCACGGGCAUCUCAGUCAGGAUGUAGUUUUGACGAGGUUGCUGGAGCAGAUGGUCUUGUGGUCAGAGUUGUUUCAUCAGUGGAUAAGAAGGUUGGAGUUAAACCACGUUUUUUGGAAACUUUUCAAGAAGAUAAUUACCCGACGGAAUUCCCUUACAAGUCCAAGGCUGUUCUUUUGUUCCAGAAAAUAGAUGGUGUAGAAGUCUGCUUAUUUGGAAUGUAUGUUCAAGAAUUUGGUGCUGAAUGCGCUUUCCCGAACCAACGUCGUGUUUACUUGUCAUACCUGGAUUCUGUGAAAUACUUCAGACCCGGGAUUAAAGCAGCCACUGGAGAGGCCUUGCGUACAUUCGUCUACCAUGAAAUUCUGAUAGGAUAUCUUGAAUACUGCAAGCAGCGUGGAUUCACAAGCUGUUAUAUAUGGGCUCGCCCACCUCUGGAAGGUGAUAACAUUUUUUAUUGCAAUCCUACGAUUCAGACGACUCGAACAUCUGACAUACUCCGGGAGUGGUGCUUAGCCAUGAUUCGAAAAGCUACUAAGGAGGAGAUUGUUGUUGAGCUUACAAAUCUGUAUGACCAUUUCUUCAUUACUACGGGAGAGUGCAAGGCUAAAGUUACUGCUUCUCGUUUGACUUACUUCGAUGGAGAUUACUGGCCAGGAGCUGCCGAAGGUAUGGUCAAUCAACUGCAUCAAGAAGAAGAUGACCAAAAGCUUCAGAAGAAGGGUAAUGCAAAGAAAAUUAUUAGAAAAAGAGCUCUUGAAGCUGCUGGCCACACUGAUCUAAGUGGGAACGCUUCCGAGGAUGAUAUGCUGAUGCAAAAGCUUGGGGAAACCAUUUAUCCAAUGAAGGAAGAUUUCAUUAUGGUCCAUUUGCAGUAUUCUUGUAGCCAUUGUCGUAGCUUUAUGUCGUCUGGAAAACGUUGGGCUUGUCAUCAAUGCAGAAGUUUUUACAUAUGUGACAAGUGCUACAGUGCAGAACAAGAGCUUGAAGAGAGGGAGAGGCAUCCGAGCAAUAGUAGAGAAACUCAUGAGCUCCAUCCGGUUGACAUUGUGGGUGUGCCUGAAGAGACAAAGGAUGGAGACGGUAUCAUAGAAAACAAGUUUUUCGACACCAGGCACGCGUUUCUCAGUCUUUGUCAAGAGAACCAUUACCAAUUUGACACCCUUCGCCGUGCCAGGCAUUCGUCGAUGAUGGUGUUGUACCACCUACAUAAUCCCACUGUCAAGUAUAAUGGUGCUGUGUAG
Molecule: ribosomal RNA, 1455 nt
Filed under: Triticum aestivum (bread wheat)
Lineage: Eukaryota; Viridiplantae; Streptophyta; Magnoliopsida; Poales; Poaceae
Description: partial small subunit ribosomal RNA
Source: RNAcentral